AGAGUUUGAUCAUGGCUCAGGAUGAACGCUAGCUACAGGCUUAACACAUGCAAGUCGAGGGGAAACGACAUCGAAAGCUUGCUUUUGAUGGGCGUCGACCGGCGCACGGGUGAGUAACGCGUAUCCAACUUGCCCACCACUUGGGGAUAACCUUGCGAAAGUAAGACUAAUACCCAAUGACGUCUCUAGAAGACAUCUGAAGGAGAUUAAAGAUUUAUCGGUGAUGGAUGGGGAUGCGUCUGAUUAGCUUGUUGGCGGGGUAACGGCCACCAAGGCGACGAUCAGUAGGGGUUCUGAGAGGAGGUCCCCANAUUGGAACUGAGACACGGUCCAAACUCCUACGGGAGGGA
Molecule: ribosomal RNA, 350 nt
Filed under: uncultured bacterium
Lineage: Bacteria
Description: bacterial SSU rRNA
Rfam family: Bacterial small subunit ribosomal RNA
Source: RNAcentral